GACGAACGCUGGCGGCGUGCUUAACACAUGCAAGUCGAACGGAAAGGCCCUGCUUUUGUGGGGUGCUCGAGUGGCGAACGGGUGAGUAACACGUGAGUAACCUGCCCUUGACUUUGGGAUAACUUCAGGAAACUGGGGCUAAUACCGGAUAGGAGCUCCUGCUGCAUGGUGGGGGUUGGAAAGUUUCGGCGGUUGGGGAUGGACUCGCGGCUUAUCGGCUUGUUGGUGGGGUAGUGGCUUACCAAGUCUUUGACGGGUAGCCGGCCUGAGAGGGUGACCGGCCACAUGGGGACUGAGGUACGGCGCAGACUCGAACGGGAGGCAGCAGUGGAAAGUAUUGCACAAUGGGUGGGAGCCUGAUGCGGAAGCGCCGCGUGCGUGAUAACGGCCUUCGGGUUGUAAACCGCUUUCGCCUGUGACGAAGCGUGAGUGACGGUAAUGGGUAAAGAAGCACCGGCUAACUACGUG
Molecule: ribosomal RNA, 468 nt
Filed under: uncultured bacterium
Lineage: Bacteria
Description: partial 16S ribosomal RNA
Rfam family: Bacterial small subunit ribosomal RNA
Source: RNAcentral